Pantherophis guttatus is the source of this 403-nucleotide long non-coding RNA. RefSeq lists it as uncharacterized. The record is from RefSeq and is a predicted model, not a curated record. Lineage: Eukaryota; Metazoa; Chordata; Lepidosauria; Squamata; Colubridae.
CACCCGGUGAAAACCAACUCUAACAGUUCCUGCGAUUUUCACCUAAUUAAAAGAGUAAAAUCCCCACUCCCAGAUGUCAUCGGUCAUAUUGUCCAAUUAGGAUGGAUGGCAGGCUCGUCUCCUCCUUCAACAGCCACCUGUUAUGAUGACCUUGGUUUCCAUAGGAAAACUUUUUGUUUCGACCGUUAACCGCAGUGGAAGUAUGAAAAACAAUGCUCAAUGGAAUGAUGAAGGGAAAAGAGGCUAUCGAUCAGGAAAAUGCAUAUAAGAGAAUGAAGCAAGAAAUCAAGGAUCAAGAUCCAACCAUUAACAAUAAAAGGACAAGCAGUCAAGAAAUGAGCCACAGACCAGAACUUGGUAAAGCAACUACGAAGACCUCAGAAUAAAUAUUUGGAUACUGGGA